Molecule: ribosomal RNA, 419 nt
Filed under: uncultured Veillonellaceae bacterium
Lineage: Bacteria; Bacillati; Bacillota; Negativicutes; Veillonellales; Veillonellaceae
Description: bacterial SSU rRNA
Rfam family: Bacterial small subunit ribosomal RNA
Source: RNAcentral
AAUCUUCCGCAAUGGACGAAAGUCUGACGGAGCAACGCCGCGUGAGUGAAGAAGGUUUUCGGAUCGUAAAGCUCUGUUGUUUGAGACGAACGUGCAGUAUACGAAUAAUGUGCUGUAAUGACGGUAUCAAACUAGAAAGCCACGGCUAACUACGUGCCAGCAGCCGCGGUAAUACGUAGGUGGCAAGCGUUGUCCGGAAUUAUUGGGCGUAAAGGGAGCGCAGGUGGGAAUGUAAGUCAGUCUUAAAAGUGCGGGGCUCAACCCCGUGAUGGGACAGAAACUACAUUUCUUGAGUGCAGGAGAGGAAAGUGGAAUUCCUAGUGUAGCGGUGAAAUGCGUAGAUAUUAGGAGGAACACCAGUGGCGAAGGCGACUUUCUGGACUGUAACUGACACUGAGGCUCGAAAGCUAGGGGAGCGA